Molecule: long non-coding RNA, 1995 nt
Organism: Cydia splendana
Lineage: Eukaryota; Metazoa; Arthropoda; Insecta; Lepidoptera; Tortricidae
Exons: 4
Source: RefSeq, a predicted model, not a curated record
GGUGUUAAUUGUUAUUUCCUUCUCGCUCAGUGUCACUGUCAGCAGUCGCAGUCUGUUCUUUUCCAAGCUUUCCACGUCGUAAGCUUGGUAAUUAAUGUUUUGUUACGAAAAUGGUUGGCUGUUCUAUUCGGAACUGUAAGAGUAGGAGUAAAAAGGGCAGUAUAAUCGUAUUUCAUUCGUUUCCGAAAAAAGAAUCCGUAGCCAAUGAAUGGCUUCGCUAUUGUGGACUGAAAACAACAUGUAAAAAUGGCAGAGUUUGUUCAAAACAUUUCACGAGUUCUGAUUAUAUCAAGCCAUUGCGGCACAUUCUAAUGAAAGAAUCGCCAAGGACAGUAAGGACAUUAAAACCAGACGCGAUACCUACAUUACAGAUUGAUAGUGUCUCUAUAAAGAUAGAGAGAGAGAGUGUAGAAGAAUCAAACUCAACUGACUUGACAGCAAAGUCUAUCGUAUGUACGGGGGGACAGACAGACAACUGUGAAACAAAAGAAGAAAAUUAUGAUAUUUCAGCUCCUUCAUGCAAUAUUAAUUUAAAAUCUGAAAGCGACACAACACCAGCCAACAAUGUUGAGGGCUCUUCAAACGUUGUUGAGAAAAGGGAUAAGAAGAUUACAGUGUCAAAGGCUGAAUAUAAGCUACUUAAAAGGAAAGUCGAUGAAUAUGAGAUUCUCAAAAAUAAUCUCAAGCAAAUUUUUACCUCAGGACAAAUUCGAUGUCUCACAAAACCUGAUAGACAACGUGUCAGAUGGUCAGCUGAAGAUAUUGCUGCUGCUAUAUCUCUAAGAUGUGUCAGCCCAAAGGGAUAUCAACAUUUGAGGUCUGAAAAAGGGAUUCCUUUACCGGCUUUGUCAACUUUGUACAAUUGGGCUUCAAAAUUUGACAUUAAGCCAGAUGCGGAGUAUAUUAUUACACCAUGCGCCCAGGCGGACUCCCAAGAGUGAGAGCACCGUGAGCGCCGUCCAUUGACGUCACGAUAUCUCAUGUAAGAUCUGUGAGCGUGAUUCGGAACACAGCCUAGGACACACGUCAAGCGUCAAAAUUGAAGCGGUAUCCAGACGGGACUGAUCCAAGGCCCCAACGUUCUGUUCUCUUCGACGGCGCAGCAGCUAUAGUUCGUUUUUUUUAGCAUUAGAAAUAAGGUAUACAAUCUUGAUGUGUCUUUUAAUUGAAAAACACAUUUUAAAAAUAAGUUACGGCAAAUAUGUAACAAUUCUGAAUCUAAUACGAUCAUUUAUAUUCUUCUGCUUUCAUAAGUAAUAGUUAAUGAUUUUUGAAAUGCGUUUUUCAAUUAAAAGACAUGUCAAGAUCGCUUACCUUCUUUCAAGUUCUUUCUAAUGCUAAAAAAAAAGAAACUAUAGUAUCACUUCUCUCUCCUCGCUCUUUUGGAAAUACCAUUUGUCAAAAAAGGACAACCAUACUGUUGACAGGAUGAACUUCAAAUCAAGGUGUUGCAGUUUUUGGUGGAUUCAAGCUGUGUAAAAGUGGUCUUUCAGGGAUGUGAUAAUAAAUGCUACACAGCGGAACGAAAUAGCAAUUAAUUGAAGCUUCGAUAUCUUCAUUAAAAAUAAACAUAAUUGAAAUGCUAAUGGAUAAUCAAUAUAUUAUAAUAUAAUAAAAUAAUUCAAUUAUUGCGGAACACAUAUUUUAGUAUGUAUUGUAAUAAAAAAUCUGAACUUUCCCUUCGUUCCCUGCUGGGGCACGACGAUAAAAUCACAAAUUGGUAUUCUUGCAUCCGCACCUCAUUUUAUCGGUAAUAUCAGUCAUUAUUGGCGGUUGUGUCCGCACGUCCUGAUUCGAUCGGGCAAUUUAAUCAGAUUGGCGAAAAAUUGACCACCCUGGAUACGCCUUCAGUCAAGCAACGUGAGUGGAAACAAAUAGUGCUGUACGCCAAUUCUCAUCACCCACGCCCAAAAUGUUUCUGUUUGAACGCGGUUUUGCGGUUUAAACGGGUUCAGAAAUCCAAGCAACUUGGUGCCUGAAAAAAAGAUUUUUUUA